RNAcentral lists this ribosomal RNA (405 nucleotides) under uncultured bacterium. RNAcentral's name for it is "partial 16S ribosomal RNA". It matches the Rfam family "Bacterial small subunit ribosomal RNA", at positions 29 to 525 of the family's 1533-position model. The record is from RNAcentral.
AUUGAACGCUGGCGGCAGGCCUAACACAUGCAAGUCGAACGAGUGGCGGACGGGUGAGUAAUGUCUGGGAAACUGCCCGAUGGAGGGGGAUAACUACUGGAAACGGUAGCUCAUACCGCAUACCAUCGGAUGUGCCCAGAUGGGAUUAGCUUGUGAGUGAGGUAACGGCUCACCUAGGCGACGAUCCCUAGCUGGUCUGAGAGGAUGACCAGCACAAGUGGAAUGGAGACAGGUGCGAGACGCCUAGGGGGGGCAGCGGGGGGGAAUAUUGCACAAGGGGCGAAAGCGUGAUGCAGCCAGGCCGGGGUUAUGAAGAAGGCCGUCGGGUUGUAAAGUACUUUCAGCGGGGAGGCUUUACCGGCAGAAGAAGCACCGGCUAACUCCGUGCCAGCAGCCGCGGUAAUU